This is a long non-coding RNA of Cyanistes caeruleus (blue tit), 4825 nucleotides long. RefSeq lists it as uncharacterized. The record is from RefSeq and is a predicted model, not a curated record. NCBI's taxonomy places the organism in Eukaryota, Metazoa, Chordata, Aves, Passeriformes, Paridae.
CAGCACAGACCGACACAAGAACCACACCUACGGCCCCGAGAACACAGGCACCCUGCAAGAACCCCUGCACACUGCUCCCCGUGGCCUGGGCAUCCUGCUUUGGUCGCUUGCUUUAGCAGGCAAGAAGGAAAGGGCUGAUUGAACAGCAGCUGUGUGUGCCAAGGCUCAGGCUCAACAUCCAGGCGCUGGUGUGGUGCGGUGUAGUUAAAGCUCCGUAGGAGGAAGAGUGACAUUGUUUUAAAAGCUCAGCUUCAAAAACAAACAUGCAACAAAGACAGGAGUGUAUUCAUCCCCUCCUAUCACAUCUGUGCCCUGCAGGCGAUGUUCUGAGAGGAGUCUGUGAAACUUGUACUUGCAGCUAUCUCAGACAGCUCCACCUCUGUCUCAGCCCUGGCUCUCCGGAGCCUGACACGCUGCCAGGGCUGUGUACGUGAUCCCCUCUGCUCCUACGCACUCCUAGCCCUGCUUAACUCGCAAGCAUUUGCAAACACGCCGCGCAGGAAAGCAAGGUUGUCUUCCAGGAUUUCAGUCUGUAGCCCAUGGGCUUUUCUUUGAUACCGAGAAAUUUGUCAUCUUUAACAUCUGGUUAAAGGAACAACAGAAAGGAACAACAGACAGUCUUAUCCAGAAAGCCAGGUUAGGUGUGUACCUGGAAAAGUCACUUCCCCCUUUGUGUGAGCAUUUCCCACGAUGGCUGGCAGUUCCCUAGUUCCAGCAGAAUGCAGCCACCACUGGAGCUUUGAAGCCCUUAGACCAGCCCUGUGGCAGAUUAUCAAGCAAGCCUUUGGCCUGGGAUGGAUUUGUAUUCAAGGGGAGCCAACAGAGAGAAUACUAACCAGAAUCCAAGAGUUCCUUGGAAUCAUGAGUUCAUGGAAGGCAAACUUCACCUAAGUUUUCAUAGGGCUUCCAUUUGAUGAUGAAAACUUGUUUUUGUAUCCAUACAGAUGUAGAGUGCAGAAAAACCAUGAAUCUUUGUUAUGAGUCAUAUCACUUGGCAGAAGAAUAAAUCUAAAUCUAUUUAUUAGUUUAUUAAUGAAGAAUAUAAAUCUGAAGUUUUAAAAUAUUUAUCUUUUCUAUUUCCUUACCUAAAUAUCUGCAUGAACAGAUUCAAUACAGCAGUUUUAUACUGAAUGAACCUGUCAAGAGGCAGAAGGACUAAUUAAUAAUUUGAUUGACUGAUCUUUUGACCACUAAAAAAAAUCUUUAGUCACAUACUAAAAAUCUAACCAGAUUCUUGUGGAUACAAAAGAGUUACCUCCUUGGAUAGUCGAAAUGCACUGGAUGCACAGUAGUGGGUGGAUUUUAAAGUUGUAUUUGAGAAGCAGUUUAACUCCUGGAUGUAAUAUGAGAAUUGUCUGCUCCAAGUCCGUGCUGGCAGACAGGCAGCAGCAAGACUUAUCAUUUCCUCAGCGGAGGUGGAACAGGACUAAUGGAAGAAACGGAUGAAGAGUCCAUGGGGGGAAAGCGUGUAAAGAAAGGGGUGGAUCACUGUUCUGAUAAGGAAAAGAAAAUUCUUGCUUGCUCAAUGAAAAUGAUUACACUUAAUGUAUGCCAUUAUUGUAAUUCUCCCACAUGCCCUGAAGACCUGAGUGAGUCCAUGCACAUUGUUCUCUGAUGAUUUUGAUGGCAACUAAUUAAUCUUCAUGAGAGGGAGUGCUGACUUUAGGGGUUUUAUCUCACUGCACUGCAAUUUAUUUUCAUUGGCAACUGGUUGACUUUUCCUUUACAACAUGCAGCUUAUGAAUGUCUUAGUUAUUUUGCCAGUGCAAUCACAAAGAUCAAUACAUCUAUGUCUAAAGCAGUACAUUUUUUAAAAUUGCAGUUCAGAGUUCCAUUUAAGUACCAAGCCCACAGUGGUUUAUUUAAAGGUUUAUUAUGUUCUCAAUUACAAAUUCAGUUGCUUUUGGAGCUUUUUCUCUGGCCUCCACUCUCAGUUCCUACUUGGAUACCCUUGCACAUCCUCUACUCACUAUUCCCUGAAGGUUUUGGUAUCCAAAGCACUGCUGCCUUCUUUUUUGUUGCUCAACAGCAGCAACAGAGAGUCGGUGGCAAAGGAAUAUGGCAGAGAAAUGAGUCACCACUAAGUAGUUCAUCAAACCACAUAUCACAUGAAAGAAGUUACUAUAUAUUAAAUAUGUUGACUUGAUUCCACUAAUCAAAUAAUAAAAUUCUACUUGAAUGAUAAAAUUUGCAAGAUAAGAAAUACAGAAAUAAAAAAGUAAUUUACUAUGUUGAUGAAAGCAAACCCACACACUCCUUUAGCUCCUAUAUUUAAGUGUUGUGUUUAAACUAAUUUUUUUAGUUGAGUGUUUAAAAAUAACAUAUGGAAGCAGUUUGGGAAAUUUAGAAAACUUUUUUUUAUAGGAGAAGAAAGCAUGGUGGGUGUGACAGAAGUAAUAUAUUCUAAGUUGCUGUCACAGGACCUGGACUGUGCAUUUGCACAGACAAUAUAAUAUCUGGGUAAUUUUUGGGAGCAACUGCAUUUGUUUUAACUUACAUUUAGUUUCAUCACAGCCUCAUUCUACUGAAGAAUAUAAAAUUAUUUUUAUUUAAGUUUCCUGUUUAAGAAAAAAAAUUUAAAUGUUUUGGUAGCAACUGUGGCACUUCUGGAGACAUUUCCCAGGGGGAGUGUUAUAAACUUCCAUAUUUCUGUGUAUGCAAGAAAGUGAGGGCUGUCCACACAGGAGAUGAUGCUAAAAGACAAACUUUCACCAGGUUGGAAAGCAGGAAAGACUUGUCUGAAACCUCUGUAUUGGGGAUGCCUGGUUAGACAACUGCUGGGUCAGAGCACAUCCACAGUGUUUCCAUGUUUCCAUGAAACCAUGCGCUGCCCAAAAAAACACCCAAACCCAACAAACAGCCAAACAAGAACAAAAAACCAGUCCCCUCAGCCAAAUUCCAGUCUGAUUUUCAAGGCUGCUAUACAAUGGAGACUAGUUACCGGUAGUUUAUCUUUUAUUUCCCUCCAUUUCUUAGACUGUAGUGAACACUGAUUGUUGGUUUCAUGUGAACUUACUGAAACCUCUUAAUGUUCUCAACUGGUCCAGUCUGAGCACUCUGAAUAACCAGCCCAGGUUACAGCAUUGCCAUAAAACAGAAAUAUGGAUGGAGAUCCAGCAUUAGCAGUGCUGUUGGAACCUGAAUGCAUUCAGGUUCUACAACAGGCUACCAAUAUUUUUUUUUAUAGCUCUUUCCCACUGAUCCCCACUUGAAAAAUGAUGAUGAAAUUUUAGAAUUAUUCAGGCCCUGGUUUGAAACACAACAUCAAGAGUUUCUCAAUACAUCCCAUACAUCAGCAUAAUGAACUUAAACUAUUCACUGACUGGUCAACUUAGAACAAUAAACAGAAUCAGGAAUCCAAGUUCAAAACCUCAGUUACUUCGCUCUUACUUCCUUAAGUACACAUGAAGACAGAUUUUAUUACAGCAUUUCAUAGGUGUUCUUAAAAGCCAUGAGCUACUUGCAUUUUAAACUGCAGAGCUUGAAGAAACUUGUGUUACAGGAACUUUACUAACAAAAAAAUUCAGAAAUGAAGAAUUCUGAAAAUUCCCAAACUUACCUAGGCACAUUGUCCAAACGUAUUGCAAGGUAAAAGAAUUAAAAACCUCUUAAGUUACUUUUUACUUUAGUCCAUUCUGGAUUUACCUAACAUCCAGAAGAUCUUCCUGCUGCUCUCCACGAGACAGUCAAAAAAGGCAAAUGAGAGCAUUCAGUACCUUGGGAACACAUGCUGCUAGAUUAGUAACCUUUACUUGAUGAAUUUUCAUCAUUAACAAGCAUACACAUCUUAUUUAUGAUUCAUGGAAAUCUCAUUUAUAACACACAUUUCUACACAGGCUUGCUUGCUUUUGCAAACUUAGACAGCUUCACCUGUUGUAAGAUUUCUGACAUGUUCUAAAGAGAACUCCCCCACCCAACACAUCUUGCCAGUGUUUUUAACAAUGGAAGAUAAAACCCUAGAAGAUAUGAAAAUCGCUGACUUCAUCAGUGCUCGAGGAUACUUCUAUCCCUGUAUGUGCUCGUUCCCUGUAAAUGCUAAUGACAUUGAUUUCAUGAGUCACUGGCACUGUGGCAGAAAGUUAUCAAAGUUGAAAUUAACUUCCCAUAGAAAUACUCUCUAUCAGUUAGAGGAGAGGCAAGCAAGCAAGCAAGGUUAAAACAUGAGGAGAACUGCCAUGGCUUCCCACCAACCAUAGAAGGUCUCAUAAAAUUCAGCUACAUUUACCCACCUCUAGUAGCAUAAACACACUGUCAAGGCAUGUGAAACAAACCAAAUUCUUGUGUGGGAUUAUGUGAUUAUGUGACUUCUCCCACUAUUUGACAUUUUUCUUCUUUUGCUCUACUUAUGUUUGUUUGGACAAAGUUGCACUUUUUGAGAAAAACUUCAACUGACAGAAGGCUGCACUUAUGACUAAAAUAUCAGAAUAAACAGUGGGAGUUACUUCCCACCCCACUGUACUAUUCAGUGCCUGGACUCUGUAUAUCAUUACCUGACACACUGGAAAAUAUCCUCCUUCACAGAGGGACUGAUUUCUAACCAUUAAGACUCUCUGUUGAACUCUGCUUUAUUCACAGAUGUUUCUCAGUGGUAUCAUGUGACAAUCGCAUUUCUGUUAUUUAGAUUUCUCCCCGUCUUUUUUCCCCUCUCAGCAAUACUGGCUUGGCUUCCCCUGCUCUGGAGUGCUGGCUGGAGAGGGAACUGGGGUAGGCUGUUUUAACAAGCAGCACAUUCUGUUUUAAACCCUUUUGCACGGAAUACAAAUCCUUGAAUGUUUUCCAGAAAUGUGAAGUGUGUUGACUUCUAUACUCAGAAUAAUAAACACAA